UUCAGACCUCUGGCUCCUACCCAGUUUCUCAAAGGAAACAGAUGGAUCAUCUGCCUAAAAUGAAAGAGAAUCUAGUGAAAACGGUGAGAUGUAAUUAAGUGAAUCAGAAGACAAUGAAUGCCAUGAGAAGACCAGUAAAAAAGAUUUCAAGAUCAAACCGUCUUUCAAAACUCAAUCUGUGAUUCCUGAACUGGAUAGUUUAGUAUUUCUUCCUUUUUUUCAUUUUAAUAUUUAACUUGUGAAGUUAAUGUUUCACAUACUUUUCAGGGAAUGAAAUAGAUAAGAAAGAGCUAUCAAUCUUAUCUUUAGAUUUUCUUCUAGAAGUUUGUUCUUUUGUCUGUAUGAAAGUAAUUUUCUCAAGUGACCAUAAACCAUCUAAUAGUAUUCUUGUGAUUUUUAAAAUAUCCUAGUAAGCUUUAAGGUUGCCAUCAUUACACUUGCUUUUAAUGAUAUACUCAUCAUCUGUUCUGAUAGUAACAUUGCUAUUUUAUUUGGAUUCUAGUUAGCUGUUAGCUAAAACUGUGAGUUCAUCAGAACUUUUUUGCUAUUUUAGGCUAUAUCAUGUUCAGCUUUUUAAAACUCAAGGUUUAAACAAAGCUGGAAAUCAAAUACAUUUUAAACUUUGAUUUGAACUAUCAUGGUGUUGUGGAAAUAGCCUUCAGUCAGGAAUCAGCUGGGGUAUAGUUCCCAUCCUGCUAUGAACUUAAGAGAUCUGGGAUUGUUUUCUUACUGUCACCUAUGUCUGGAAGAUACAUAUGAUUUAUUCCUCCUGCUUAAUAAGUUAAAUUAUUGGACUUGACAGAAAUCACUCAGAGGUAAGUAUAGUUUCUGGUAUUCUUACCUUAUAUCUGGUACCAAACCCUAAAUUAUAUUCAGUAUCACCAAUAAUGGAUGCCAAAUGCUUUUCUCUAACUAUUCAUAGAUAUUCACUUUCUUUACAUUAGAAUACAUACAUUUCAUAUAGACAAAUAAUUAUUCUGUGUGACUUUAAAAAGUAAUGCAGAGAAACAAAGUAACUUCCUGUAAAUUAUUCCAAAUAGAAACCAUUUGGGAAUAUUUUCACCGGUGUUUAAGCUAGCUACAGAUAUAUCAGGUACCAUGACUCAUUUUAUUCAAUAAUUACUAGAUACUACAUUUUUAUUUAUUUACUUCUGUAUGCACUAUUUCUAAAAAGGAUUGUGUUACCUUUUACUAAAUACAGAGAUAUAUCUAUAAAUUGAACAAGACCCAUAAGAUGAAAGAUAAAAAUAAAAGUUAGUUUUGCUAGAUUCCCAACUAAGAAAAAGCUCUAUUUUAAGCUUCCUAGUAAUCAGCACAAAGAAAGAGUGAAUUACACACCUCUCUUUUUUUUUUAAUGGAAGGGAUAUACAAGUCAAGAAAAAGUUAUACUUAAUUCUGAGCUCUGAAGAUAAUUUGUCAUGUGAAGCUUUAUACAAGUUGCAUUUACUGAAAUAAUCAGUAUAAAAUUUAUACUUUGGGGUCUUUAUUUUAUUGAAUAUGAAGUAUGUAUUAAUAUCAUUAUUGAUGUUUUUUUGAAGCGUUUACAAUUCCUGAAGCAAAAUAUCAGUAAACAAUGUUUAUUUCAAAAGUUUUAGCACCUAUAAAUGUAUUACAAAAUGUUAAAAAGUACCAUUUAUUUAAAAAAUGUUGCUGUAAGUAAAAAGAUAUAAUGAGUAAUAAUGAGGAUGUGGAGAAAUUGGAACUGUCACACACUGGCCAAGUGUUCACAGUACUCAAGUCUAGAGUGGAAAUAGAACAAGAGUACGAGAAGUGUUCUUUUAAGGCAUUAAAAAAUUUACAUCCCCUCGUGGGGAUGUAAAACUGCACCACUGCUCUGAAAACAGUCUGUCAGUUCCUCAGAAGGUUAAACAUAGAGUUACCAUGUCACCCAGCAUUUCUACUCUUCCGGAUACACCCCAGAGAAAUGAAAACCAAUGCACAUAAAAAUGUGUAUACAAGUAUUUAUAGCACUAUUCUACAUAAUAGCUAAAACGUAGAAACAACCCAAAUAUCCAUCAGCUGAUGAAUGAGUAAAUAAAUUCUGGUAUAUCCAAAUAAUGGAAUAGUAUUCAGCAGUAAAAAGAAUGAAGUACAGCAUGGAUGGACCUUGAAGACAUUAUCCUGAGUGAACAAAGCCAGUCACAAGAGAUCACAUAUUAUAUAAUUCCAUUUAUAUGAAAUGUCCAGAAUAGACAAAUCUAUAUGGACAGAAAGUAGA
This is a non-coding RNA of Odocoileus virginianus texanus, 2218 nucleotides long. The record is from RefSeq and is a predicted model, not a curated record. Lineage: Eukaryota; Metazoa; Chordata; Mammalia; Artiodactyla; Cervidae.